UAACCUCGGGCCGAUCG
Molecule: non-coding RNA, 17 nt
Filed under: Mus musculus (house mouse)
Lineage: Eukaryota; Metazoa; Chordata; Mammalia; Rodentia; Muridae
Source: RNAcentral